This 2904-nucleotide ribosomal RNA is filed under the name Salmonella enterica subsp. enterica serovar Newport. RNAcentral describes it as "23S ribosomal RNA". It matches the Rfam family "Bacterial large subunit ribosomal RNA". Lineage: Bacteria; Pseudomonadati; Pseudomonadota; Gammaproteobacteria; Enterobacterales; Enterobacteriaceae. The record is from RNAcentral.
GGUUAAGCGACUAAGCGUACACGGUGGAUGCCCUGGCAGUCAGAGGCGAUGAAGGACGUGCUAAUCUGCGAUAAGCGCCGGUAAGGUGAUAUGAACCGUUAUAACCGGCGAUUUCCGAAUGGGGAAACCCAGUGUGAUUCGUCACACUAUCAUUAACUGAAUCCAUAGGUUAAUGAGGCGAACCGGGGGAACUGAAACAUCUAAGUACCCCGAGGAAAAGAAAUCAACCGAGAUUCCCCCAGUAGCGGCGAGCGAACGGGGAGGAGCCAGAGCCUGAAUCAGCAUGUGUGUUAGUGGAAGCGUCUGGAAAGGCGCGCGAUACAGGGUGACAGCCCCGUACACAAAAGCGCAUGUGCUGUGAGCUCGAUGAGUAGGGCGGGACACGUGGUAUCCUGUCUGAAUAUGGGGGGACCAUCCUCCAAGGCUAAAUACUCCUGACUGACCGAUAGUGAACCAGUACCGUGAGGGAAAGGCGAAAGAACCCCGGCGAGGGGAGUGAAAAAGAACCUGAAACCGUGUACGUACAAGCAGUGGGAGCACAGGUUUACCUGUGUGACUGCGUACCUUUUGUAUAAUGGGUCAGCGACUUAUAUUCUGUAGCAAGGUUAACCGAAUAGGGGAGCCGGAGGGAAACCGAGUCUUAAUUGGGCGUUAAGUUGCAGGGUAUAGACCCGAAACCCGGUGAUCUAGCCAUGGGCAGGUUGAAGGUUGGGUAACACUAACUGGAGGACCGAACCGACUAAUGUUGAAAAAUUAGCGGAUGACCUGUGGCUGGGGGUGAAAGGCCAAUCAAACCGGGAGAUAGCUGGUUCUCCCCGAAAGCUAUUUAGGUAGCGCCUCGUGAACUCAUCUCCGGGGUAGAGCACUGUUUCGGCUAGGGGGCCAUCCCGGCUUACCAACCCGAUGCAAACUGCGAAUACCGGAGAAUGUUAUCACGGGAGACACACGGCGGGUGCUAACGUCCGUCGUGAAGAGGGAAACAACCCAGACCGCCAGCUAAGGUCCCAAAGUCAUGGUUAAGUGGGAAACGAUGUGGGAAGGCCCAGACAGCCAGGAUGUUGGCUUAGAAGCAGCCAUCAUUUAAAGAAAGCGUAAUAGCUCACUGGUCGAGUCGGCCUGCGCGGAAGAUGUAACGGGGCUAAACCAUGCACCGAAGCUGCGGCAGCGACACUGUGUGUUGUUGGGUAGGGGAGCGUUCUGUAAGCCUGUGAAGGUGGCCUGUGAGGGUUGCUGGAGGUAUCAGAAGUGCGAAUGCUGACAUAAGUAACGAUAAAGCGGGUGAAAAGCCCGCUCGCCGGAAGACCAAGGGUUCCUGUCCAACGUUAAUCGGGGCAGGGUGAGUCGACCCCUAAGGCGAGGCCGAAAGGCGUAGUCGAUGGGAAACGGGUUAAUAUUCCCGUACUUGGUGUUACUGCGAAGGGGGGACGGAGAAGGCUAUGUUGGCCGGGCGACGGUUGUCCCGGUUUAAGCGUGUAGGUGUGUGUUCCAGGUAAAUCCGGUUCACUUUAACACUGAGGCGUGACGACGAGGCACUACGGUGCUGAAGCAACAAAUGCCCUGCUUCCAGGAAAAGCCUCUAAGCAUCAGGUAACAUCAAAUCGUACCCCAAACCGACACAGGUGGUCAGGUAGAGAAUACCAAGGCGCUUGAGAGAACUCGGGUGAAGGAACUAGGCAAAAUGGUGCCGUAACUUCGGGAGAAGGCACGCUGACACGUAGGUGAAGUGAUUUACUCAUGGAGCUGAAGUCAGUCGAAGAUACCAGCUGGCUGCAACUGUUUAUUAAAAACACAGCACUGUGCAAACACGAAAGUGGACGUAUACGGUGUGACGCCUGCCCGGUGCCGGAAGGUUAAUUGAUGGGGUCAGCGCAAGCGAAGCUCCUGAUCGAAGCCCCGGUAAACGGCGGCCGUAACUAUAACGGUCCUAAGGUAGCGAAAUUCCUUGUCGGGUAAGUUCCGACCUGCACGAAUGGCGUAAUGAUGGCCAGGCUGUCUCCACCCGAGACUCAGUGAAAUUGAACUCGCUGUGAAGAUGCAGUGUACCCGCGGCAAGACGGAAAGACCCCGUGAACCUUUACUAUAGCUUGACACUGAACAUUGAGCCUUGAUGUGUAGGAUAGGUGGGAGGCUUUGAAGCGUGGACGCCAGUCUGCGUGGAGCCGACCUUGAAAUACCACCCUUUAAUGUUUGAUGUUCUAACGUGGACCCGUUACCCGGGUUGCGGACAGUGUCUGGUGGGUAGUUUGACUGGGGCGGUCUCCUCCUAAAGAGUAACGGAGGAGCACGAAGGUUGGCUAAUCCUGGUCGGACAUCAGGAGGUUAGUGCAAUGGCAUAAGCCAGCUUGACUGCGAGCGUGACGGCGCGAGCAGGUGCGAAAGCAGGUCAUAGUGAUCCGGUGGUUCUGAAUGGAAGGGCCAUCGCUCAACGGAUAAAAGGUACUCCGGGGAUAACAGGCUGAUACCGCCCAAGAGUUCAUAUCGACGGCGGUGUUUGGCACCUCGAUGUCGGCUCAUCACAUCCUGGGGCUGAAGUAGGUCCCAAGGGUAUGGCUGUUCGCCAUUUAAAGUGGUACGCGAGCUGGGUUUAGAACGUCGUGAGACAGUUCGGUCCCUAUCUGCCGUGGGCGCUGGAGAACUGAGGGGGGCUGCUCCUAGUACGAGAGGACCGGAGUGGACGCAUCACUGGUGUUCGGGUUGUCAUGCCAAUGGCACUGCCCGGUAGCUAAAUGCGGAAGAGAUAAGUGCUGAAAGCAUCUAAGCACGAAACUUGCCCCGAGAUGAGUUCUCCCUGAGACUUAGAGUCUCCUGAAGGAACGUUGAAGACGACGACGUUGAUAGGCCGGGUGUGUAAGCGCAGCGAUGCGUUGAGCUAACCGGUACUAAUGAACCGUGAGGCUUAACCUU